AAAAAAAAAAAAAAAAGAGAUUUUUAUGAAUUUUAUUUUAUAAAUAAUCACAUUUAAAUAUUAAAAAUGAAAUUUCGUACGAAAAUAAAUAAACUAAGGUAAAUAAAAUAAUAACGAAAAUAAUCACGAUGGGAACAAAACAAUACAAUUAAAACUCCUACAAUUACACUAAUAACAUAUAAAGCCUAUAUAUUUCAAGAACGUAGGAAAUUCACAGCAAUAUUCCCAUCAGGUUAUACCAAAACUGUACUAAUAGUAAGUUUAUCAAAUUCAGUCCCUACAUUUUGUCUAAAUCUGCCUCCUAUAAAAUUUAUGUAGAAUCAUAAGAGGACAAACGCAAAAAUUCUAUAGUUUUCUAUUUAAAAAAAAAAAACAGAAAUACUAA
Molecule: unclassified non-coding RNA, 385 nt
Filed under: Hevea brasiliensis (rubber tree)
Lineage: Eukaryota; Viridiplantae; Streptophyta; Magnoliopsida; Malpighiales; Euphorbiaceae
Source: RNAcentral